GGUGGUUCUCGGGUAACAGACCCUGGAAUUGGGCUCCCUCCUCUCUGAUUGCAGGUGUGUCACCCAAGAAUUGCA
Myotis davidii is the source of this 75-nucleotide non-coding RNA. The record is from Rfam. NCBI's taxonomy places the organism in Eukaryota, Metazoa, Chordata, Mammalia, Chiroptera, Vespertilionidae.